AUGUGGCAUGGAGAGAGAAGCACAAACACACGUAACAUCACAGUUCCAAAAUUUGGUCUCUGCUGCAAGGAAGGGAAAAUUAAAUUACCACCACUGAAGCAAGCUCUGUUGUAUCUCCGACAGCUACUACGUUACAAUGAAAGAGGAGAGUCAUCCAAUUUUCGCCCGAACAUCAGGUUGUACAACUCCAUGUUCGUGUUCACUUCAAUGGGAGGAAAGGUUGACUAUGAAAUUAAUAAGCAGACACCUGGACCAUAUGUUUUCCGUUUGAAUGGCCAAAACUACCAUCAGAUUGGCACUUUACUUCCUAAAGAUGACGUGAUGAAACCAAAAUUUGCCCAAUUGCACAUACAUGACACAGAAAAUGAAGUGCGUAACAGGAUUACUGCAUCAACUUCAAUGGAGAGUAAGACAAAGCCAGAUGAAAACAUUGUCAUAGGUCUACUAGAGAUGCUAGAUGAGCACAAUGUUUUAGUCAAAUCGUUUCGUAUGGCAAGGGACAGGUUCGAAAACCGAGAUAUUAAAGAUGUAAGACUAAGAUUGAUCAACAAAAGGUCGAAAGAUGGACGGCAAUACAACCUCCCAUCUGCCUCAGAAGUUGCAGCACUAAUUAUCGGGGAACAAGAUGGAGAAAAUAAUGAAUUUGAUAUAAUAACUGAGACCAAAGACAGAAUGUUACAGAGGAUUUUAGAGUUGCACCCAAGCUAUAUGUCAAUGCAAUACCCCUUGCUUUUUCCAUAUGGAGAAGAUGGGUUCAGACCAGAAAUAGAGUAUCAAAAAAAGAGAGGCGACAAAGGUAAGAGAAAGUAUGUAACAAUGCUGGAGUUUUAUGCAUAUCGCAUCCAACAACGUCUUAACCAAGCAACAACCUUGCAAAUGAGUGGACGUUUGUUCCUACAGUUCUUAGUUGAUGCAGCAACGUGCAUUGAACAAUGGAGACUAAAUUGGUACAGGACAAACCAAGGUAAGCUGAGGACAGAACUAUACAGAGGACUGCAUGAUGCAAUAGAAAAUGGAGAUACACGAACUGAACAAGUUGGCCAAAGAAUCAUACUACCCUCAACAUAUAAUGGUAGCCCUAGAAAUAAGCAGCAAAACUACCAAGAUGCCAUGGCGAUUUGUCGUUGGGCUGGCUAUCCUGAUCUCUUCAUCACUUUUACAUGCAAUCCGAAAUGGCCGGAAAUACAGGAUAUGCUGGAUCUGAUUCCAGGCCAGAAACCUGAAGAUCGUCCAGACAUUGUUGCCAGAGUAUUCAUGUUAAAACUGAAGGAACUUAUGAAUGACAUAAAGAACGAGAAGUGUUUCGGACAAACAAUUGCGAGUAAGUUUACCAACCAACUACAGCUUUACUAUUGCCUAGAUGAUUGUCCUAAAUCAUUUCUUCUCAUAUUUCUUUACUUGCAUGCAGUUGUCUACACGAUAGAGUUCCAAAAAAGAGGCCUCCCUCAUGCACAUAUACUGGUGUUUCUACAUCCAGAUGAUAAAGAUCCCAGUCCUUCCCAGAUCGACAAAAUCAUAUCAGCCGAAAUUCCUGACAAGAAUAGUGAUCCAGAUGGGUAUGAAGCAGUGCAAAAUUACAUGAUACAUGGUCCCUGUGGUCAAGCACACCCAAAAUCACCAUGCAUGGUCGAUAAAAGUUGUGCCAAACAUUUCCCCAAGAGUUUUUGCACAGAAACUACAAUAGAUGAAGAUAACUAUCCAGUAUAUAGAAGACGAGAUGAUGGCAAUACUGUGGACAAAAACGGAGUGAAGCUAGACAAUAGAUUUGUUGUGCCAUACAAUAGAAACAUACUGGUCAAGUAUCAAGCCCACAUAAAUGUUGAAUGGUGCAACAGAUCAAGGUCUAUAAAGUAUUUAUUCAAAUACAUCCACAAAGGAGAAGAUCGAACAACAGUAUUAAUAGAAACAGAAGAGCAACAAAGAGAAACAAGAGGUGGCAAAUUAACAAACAGGGACGACGAAAUCAAGAGAUACCUUGAUGCUCGGUACAUAUCUGGAUGUGAAGCCGCAUGGCGCAUAUUUCAGUUUCCUCUUCAGUAUAGAGAGCCUGCGGUUGAAAAGUUACAAUUUCACCUAGAAAAUGAACAUGUUGUGGUAUUCCCAGACUCGAUGGAUUUAGAUAAAAUCAUAUCUCGGCCUAACAUAGAAAAGACAAUGUUCACAGAAUGGAUGACAGCCAACCAAUUGCAUGAGGAAGCUCGCAGUUUGACGUAUGCACAGUUUCCAACCAAAUGGACUUGGCAUGCAAAAGAGAAAGAAUGGAGGAAAAGACGUGGUGGUAAAAAAACCAUAGGCAGGAUUUACUAUGCACAACCAACAAGCGGUGAAAAAUACUACUUGAGAAUGCUUCUAAAUACCGUGAAAGGAUGCAGAUCCUAUGAAGAAAUCCGAACAGUUGAUGGGGUUGUACAUCCAACAUACAAAUCUGCAUGUUAUGCUCUUGGGCUACUUAAUGACGACAAGGAGGGGGAUAACUGCAUCAAGGAAGCAUCCCAUUGGGCCUCUGCUCCUCAAAUGCGCCAACUUUUCUGCACAAUACUUUUAUUUUGCGAGGUGACUGAUCCUGCAAAGUUGUGGCAAACAAACUGGGAGUUACUAUCUGAGGACAUCCAACGUCGGCAAAGAAGAAUACUCAAUUUUCAGGCCCUAGAACUCAACUCAUUGCAAAUA
This 2670-nucleotide ribosomal RNA is filed under the name Triticum aestivum (bread wheat). RNAcentral's name for it is "partial small subunit ribosomal RNA". The record is from RNAcentral. Lineage: Eukaryota; Viridiplantae; Streptophyta; Magnoliopsida; Poales; Poaceae.